This 467-nucleotide ribosomal RNA is filed under the name uncultured bacterium. Its description in RNAcentral is "partial 16S ribosomal RNA". It matches the Rfam family "Bacterial small subunit ribosomal RNA", at positions 28 to 507 of the family's 1533-position model. The record is from RNAcentral.
GAUGAACGCUGGCGGCGUGCUUAACACAUGCAAGUCGAACGGAAAGGCUCCUGCUUGCAGGGGUACUCGAGUGGCGAACGGGUGAGUAACACGUGGGUGAUCUGCCCUGCACUUCGGGAUAAGCCUGGGAAACUGGGUCUAAUACCGGAUAGGACCACAUUUUGGAUGGUGUGGUGGAAAGUUUUUCGGUGUGGGAUGAGCUCGCGGCCUAUCAGCUUGUUGGUGGGGUAAUGGCCUACCAAGGCGUCGACGGGUAGCCGGCCUGAGAGGGUGUACGGCCACAUUGGGACGGUGAUACGGCCCAGACUCCUACGGGAGGCAGCAGUGGGGAAUAUUGCACAAUGGGCGCAAGCCUGAUGCAGCGACGCCGCGUGGGGGAUGACGGCCUUCGGGUUGUAAACUCCUUUCGCUAGGGACGAAGCGUUUUUGUGACGGUACCUGGAGAAGAAGCACCGGCUAACUACGUG